GGCUAACACAUGCAAGUCGAACGGCAGCACAGGAGAGCUUGCUCUCUGGGUGGCGAGUGGCGGACGGGUGAGGAAUACAUCGGAAUCUACUUUUUCGUGGGGGAUAACGUAGGGAAACUUACGCUAAUACCGCAUACGACCUACGGGUGAAAGCAGGGGAUCUUCGGACCUUGCGCGAUUGAAUGAGCCGAUGUCGGAUAGCUAGUUGGCGGGGUAAAGGCCCACCAAAGGCGACAUCCGUAGCUGGUCUGAGAGGAUGAUCAGCCACACUGGAACUGAGACACGGUCCAGACUCCUACGGGAGGCAGCAGUGGGGAAUAUUGGACAAUGGGCGCAAGCCUGAUCCAGCCAUACCGCGUGGGUGAAGAAGGCCUUCGGGUUGUAAAGCCCUUUUUGUUGGGAAAGAAAUCCAGCUGGCUAAUACCCGGUUGGGAUGACGGUACCCAUAGAAUAAGCACCGGCUAACUUCGUGCCAGCAGCCGCGGUAAUACGAAGGGUGCAAGCGUUACUCGGAAUUACUGGGCGUAAAGCGUGCGUAGG
RNAcentral lists this ribosomal RNA (540 nucleotides) under uncultured bacterium. RNAcentral's name for it is "bacterial SSU rRNA". It matches the Rfam family "Bacterial small subunit ribosomal RNA", at positions 45 to 575 of the family's 1533-position model. The record is from RNAcentral.